RNAcentral lists this ribosomal RNA (441 nucleotides) under uncultured bacterium. RNAcentral describes it as "partial 16S ribosomal RNA". It matches the Rfam family "Bacterial small subunit ribosomal RNA", at positions 338 to 795 of the family's 1533-position model. The record is from RNAcentral.
CCUACGGGAGGCAGCAGUGGGGAAUAUUGCACAAUGGGGGAAACCCUGAUGCAGCGACGCCGCGUGAGUGAAGAAGUAUCUCGGUAUGGAAAGCUCUAUCAGUAGGGAAGAAGCAAGACGGUAGCUGACUAAGAAGCACCGGCUAACUACGUGCCAGCAGCCGCGGUAAUACGUAGGGGGCAAGCGUUAUCCGGAUUUACUGGGUGUAAAGGGAGCGUAGACGGUUUGGCAAGUCUGAAGUGAAAGCCCAGGGCUUAACCCUGGGACUGCUUUGGAAACUGUUAGACUAGAGUGCUGGAGAGGUAAGUGGAAUUCCUGGUGUAGCGGUGAAAUGCGUAGAUAUUAGGAGGAACACCAGUGGCGAAGGCGGCUUACUGGACAGUAACUGACGUUGAGGCUCGAAAGCGUGGGGAGCAAACAGGAUUAGAUACCCCGGUAGUC